CAAUAGCGUAUAUUAAAGUUGUUGCAGUUAAAAAGCUCGUAGUUGGAUUUCUGGUCGGAAGCUCCUGUCCUCUGAUGAGCGUACAAGUGCGUCCUACCAUCCUUCUGUUAACCUUUAAGGCUUUCGCGGCUUUCUAGGGGCUCAGAUAUUUUACCUUGAGAAAAUUAGAGUGUUUCAGGCAGGCUAGCGCCGGAAUACAUUAGCAUGGAUUAAUGGAAUAGGACUUUUGCCUCUUCUGUUGGUCAUGAGGCUCGAGUAAUGAUUAAUAGGGAUAGUUGGGGGCAUUAGUACUUAACUGUCAGAGGUGAAAUUCUCGGAUUUGUUAAAGACUAACUUAUGCGAAAGCAUUUGCCAAGGAUGUUUUCAUUAA
RNAcentral lists this ribosomal RNA (370 nucleotides) under uncultured eukaryote. RNAcentral's name for it is "partial 18S ribosomal RNA". It matches the Rfam family "Eukaryotic small subunit ribosomal RNA", at positions 592 to 976 of the family's 1831-position model. The record is from RNAcentral.